UGGGGAAUUUUGGACAAUGGGGGAAACCCUGAUCCAGCCAUCCCGCGUGUGCGAUGAAGGCCUUCGGGUUGUAAAGCACUUUUGGCAGGAAAGAAACGUCGUGGGUUAAUACCCCGCGAAACUGACGGUACCUGCAGAAUAAGCACCGGCUAACUACGUGCCAGCAGCCGCGGUAAUACGUAGGGUGCAAGCGUUAAUCGGAAUUACUGGGCGUAAAGCGUGCGCAGGCGGUUCGGAAAGAAAGAUGUGAAAUCCCAGAGCUUAACUUUGGAACUGCAUUUUUAACUACCGGGCUAGAGUGUGUCAGAGGGAGGUGGAAUUCCGCGUGUAGCAGUGAAAUGCGUAGAUAUGCGGAGGAACACCGAUGGCGAAGGCAGCCUCCUGGGAUAACACUGACGCUCAUGCACGAAAGCGUGGGGAGCAAACAGGAUUAGAUACCCUGGUAGUCCACGCCCUAAACGAUGUCAACUAGCUGUUGGGGUCUUCGGACCUUGGUAGCGCAGCUAACGCGUGAAGUUGACCGCCUGGGGAGUACGGUCGCAAGAUUAAAACUUAAAUGAAUUGACGGGGGUCAUAGCUGUUU
RNAcentral lists this ribosomal RNA (583 nucleotides) under uncultured bacterium. RNAcentral's name for it is "partial 16S ribosomal RNA". It matches the Rfam family "Bacterial small subunit ribosomal RNA", at positions 355 to 935 of the family's 1533-position model. The record is from RNAcentral.